CGGCCGCGCCACAUUGAAACAUUGGUUCCCGUACGAUCACCGACUUUAAGCAACGUCGAGCCUGGUCAGAACCUAGAUAGGUGACCACUUAGGAGUACCAUGUGCUGUAAG
Molecule: non-coding RNA, 111 nt
Organism: Acanthosepion pharaonis
Lineage: Eukaryota; Metazoa; Mollusca; Cephalopoda; Sepiida; Sepiidae
Source: the annotation of a GenBank genome assembly